This 425-nucleotide ribosomal RNA is filed under the name uncultured bacterium. RNAcentral's name for it is "partial 16S ribosomal RNA". It matches the Rfam family "Bacterial small subunit ribosomal RNA", at positions 354 to 796 of the family's 1533-position model. The record is from RNAcentral.
GUAGGGAAUCUUGCGCAAUGGGCGAAAGCCUGACGCAGCCAUGCCGCGUGAAUGAUGAAGGUCUUAGGAUUGUAAAAUUCUUUCACCGGGGACGAUAAUGACGGUACCCGGAGAAGAAGCCCCGGCUAACUUCGUGCCAGCAGCCGCGGUAAUACGAAGGGGGCUAGCGUUGCUCGGAAUUACUGGGCGUAAAGGGAGCGUAGGCGGAUAGUUUAGUCAGAGGUGAAAGCCCAGGGCUUAACCUUGGAAUUGCCUUUGAUACUGGCUAUCUUGAGUAUGGAAGAGGUAUGUGGAACUCCGAGUGUAGAGGUGAAAUUCGUAGAUAUUCGGAAGAACACCAGUGGCGAAGGCGACAUACUGGUCCAUUACUGACGCUGAGGCUCGAAAGCGUGGGGAGCAAACAGGAUUAGAUACCCUUGUAGUCC